This is a long non-coding RNA of Dreissena polymorpha, 3767 nucleotides long. RefSeq lists it as uncharacterized. The record is from RefSeq and is a predicted model, not a curated record. Lineage: Eukaryota; Metazoa; Mollusca; Bivalvia; Myida; Dreissenidae. The transcript is spliced from 9 exons.
ACGUGCUCGUUAUUGUGAAACAGUACACGGAUACAACAAUUUAUGAAAAGAAUUUACUAUCGUAUCGGUAUACGCGUUCGUGAUCGUUAACACUUUUUUAACAAAAGUAUUUCUUUAAAAAGAAAGCAUUUCGAAAAUCAAUUGAGACAUGUAGGCUGACAAACUUGAUUGUUCUAGGACGAGAUGCGAGCGAUUGUUUGACGUCAUUGAUGUGAUGGAGUUUACAAGAUGUCAACUUUACAUGCUCGUCAAAUAACACCAACAAGAUCUGGGAAACACAGGAUUAUACUGGUGCCCUUCAUUGUGUGAUCUCAGAACAGUGGUGUGUCUUAUUCGGUUUCGCUAGAAGGGACACGGAAGCAGCGGGUUCUUUAGUUUCUAGAACUUUGCGGCGUUAUCAACUGGGUUUUUGAAUAGCGUCAUCAGCCAACUAGGUCAGGAAGUUCCGUUCUACAUUCGCACGUAGGUGUAGUCAUCGUCGGCCAUCUGGUAAAUAGUGGUUCGUCCUGACGAGGUCGUCGUCGAUUUAGUAGCUCAAAAAUGCUUUCUAUCAAUGCGGGGCAUUCGCUGACUGUUCAAAGUGAUCGAAUCAAACGAUGUUAUUGAACCGUGAUAUGGCGUUUUAUGUGUAUCAAGUGAGCUUUAUUUGUGCAGUAAUGUUUGUUUCCGAUGUUUUCCUUUUGAAGAUUGAAGUUCAGUAUCAAAUGACUGUUGAAGGAAGUGUUCGUAUUAAAUGCUAUUCGGGUCGACCUUUGACCUUUAUUUUUACCAAUAAUCGAAACAAAACAAUUGAGAUAGCUAGAUGUAUCCCAGGGGAGAUGCAUUUUGUUUGUUACUUGUUCGAAGAAACGUUUAAGAAACAUUAUGCAACAGAUUAUACUCUAGAGAGUGGAAUCUUGGUAAUUUUAAAAUUGGAGCAAGAUGUUUAUGGCCAAUACAACUGCACAGAUGCGUUCGACCCAACACGAACAGAGGGAGUCAUGAUAACAGAUAGGACAAGUAAUGGGAGUCAUGUAUCUAAUAACAGUUUGAUGUCACUAGUUGUUACCGUCAUCUCUAUGUAUGACUUAAUGUCACAGUAAGAUUUUCAAGAACGUUCUACUUCAUGCAUGUUAAUAUGUCAUCAUUCCUCCUUUGUCGUGCAACGGAUCAUGAGAAAACGAAAAGCAUAGUAUACACAGUUUCCAGUGAAAUAUUGUUAAUUCACCGAAUACUCCCAAUACAUUAUUUAGUGCAAAUAUGCAUCGGGACAGAAAACGGGACGGGAACGUAUUAUUCUAAGAAUUAUAGGAUUUGACUUUUUGGAUGUGCAGAAGAACGUGAAUGCUUGAUGUUUAACAGUGCGUGCUUUAUUUGUACAUGUGUAUCAAGUUAUUGGCUGCCAUGUUUAUACGUCAAGAAGGGCGCUUUAAUCCAAUUACUUGAGUUUUCUUUGUGUAUGAUUCUGCGAAAUCAUUUAUAUUCGUAGGCAUGGAAUGUCGUUUUGUUUUUUCAAGACAAAUUCAAUAUUUUCGUGGAAUCUUAUUAAAAUCGGUAAGUUUGUUUUCAGUAUGUUAAGUCUACAUUUGUAAUCCACUUACUACGAAACUUGCUAAGAAUAUUUAAACCUUAUGCUGUUAUGAUAUUUAGACUGAGUUAAAAGUGAUUUUAGUUUAUGAAGAAACAUUUUCGCUUGGUGCUUUUUUUGUGACAACUAGUGAACUCUAAAGUUACGCCUUUUUGCCCUUCUGAUUAUCAAGCCAAUACUGUACGUUAUUUAGCCUCACUUCCAGUAGAAAGGGGUUAUUAUUAAUGUUAUUAUCAUAAGUAUUAUCAUAUAAGUAUAGCCCCACUUUCAGUAGGUAGGAGUUGGGACAUAUAGAAAUUACUCUGUUUUAGUUUUAGUCUGUUUUUAUAUCGGUCUAUCAUUGCAAUUAUCAUGACUAUAACUCCGAAAAAAAGUUUGAAAACUGUUUACUUCUAAUACGAGCCACUGUGUCGCGUGUACGGAGCUUACUUCUAUGUCACGUUAAAACUUUGGUAAAUCAAUACGUUUUUUCCUUGCGUCUGGACUGCAACCCCGAAACAAACUUAGAACACUGUUUUCCUUUAAUAAGAGCCAUUGUGUCGCGUGUACGGAGUUAACUUCUAAGUCACUUAAAAACUUUGGUAAAUCAAUAUGUUUUUGCCAAAAACAAUGUGAACAUUUUGCGUAUCCACAUUAUAACUUGACCAUGCAUCGAAGGAUUGUAAAGUUACUAUUCGAAAAUAACAUUACCUGUACCAGAUGGUGUGUCUUAUUACUCAGAAUUUUUCGCCAAAGUCAGAUCGUUUGUCGCGCGCACGAACCGCGUCUUUCGCUAUGGUCAAUGAAAAACGUCGAAGUAUAACUUCAAGAACUUUAUUGUCGAACCAGGGCUUGUUCUCUUAAUAACUGGACCAAGUGAAAGAUUUUAAACUAACUGAACAAAUUACCAAUAUAAGCUAAUCUGUGUUGCGAAAUAUCCAUGUUGAAUCUUUGGCGUUCAAGGUCCAACUUAAAGGUAAAAAAUAAUUGCUUUAAUGUCAAUAUAUUGCCCACUCUAAUUUUUAUCUACAUUGAAGGAAUUAAACAAAUUUGAUCACUUUAUGAGAUGAUUUGUUGGGCAUAUGAUCCAGAAAGCUGUCAUAGUUUAUUCAAGGUCAUUGUCAACAGUUGACGUCAAGAUAAAUUGUCAAGUUUUUGCUUUUCUUUCAAUAACUUGGUCAUAUAUUGAAUGCAUUUUUCAAAACGAGGCAUAGGUACAGUAUUGACAAGCGCAAGAAACACACAAUCGUUCACAUCGUGUAUUAUUGAUCAAACUUGCAUUGUUCACAGCUGACAAGACUAUAAUAAAGUGUGGCUGGAGGCAAUUUUAAACAUUAUACUACGCUUUAAAGGACUCUUAAAAUGGCUUAUUCUUCUUUAGCGCACCUUAGCAGGAUAUGCAUAUGUAAAGCUUUUCUGAUCGUGUUUUUGUCGAUUCUCCGACCUGCUUUUCGAUUGUCAUUAUUAAUCUUGCAAAAUCGCUUUGUCACAAUCAUCUCUCUGUCGAGUUCCAAACGUGAUUAUUUGGGACAAUGAGUCAUGUGGUCAACUUGUAAAAAAUACACCCUUGUUUACAAAAGUUAUGAAUUUAAAUCAACGCAUUUGGCUUAAUACUGCGAUAACUUUUUUAACAUGUAAGUAACACACCCAAUAUAUACAACCAUAUCAAAGGCAUGCUAAUUCUAAAAUAAACAGGAUAUCAAGUGACCAGUCAAGAGGCGUAUGUAUCCUCUUAUUAUCAUAUAAGUGUAAACACUAAUGAAAAAAAUGUAUAUGUGCAAUUACUCUAUAUAAUUUUUCUUACGUUGUUGUUUACAUAUAUACUAUACAUUUUCUUGAUUUAAUGUUGCGUUUGUUGUUUUCAUGUGUUUCAACAAUAUUCGACAUCUAAGAUGGUAUGGAAUCCCCAACAAUAUUGUAGAAUUAAAAAUAAUACAUUCGAAAAAACGUAUUUAUAAAGCUCAAUAACCGCACAACAGGUACAUAUCGGGCUAGAUCAUGUUUUGUUUGAUUUGCAAUUAAGAUCUUGGUAUUUUUGCAAACGUAAAACAAGUUUGUUUAUGCAUGUAUUUUAUAUGACAAGUUAUUUUUUUUUUGUUCUUUCUGUAUUCAAUAUAAAUUUGAAUAUAUAUGUCAGUAUCUAUAUAUAUGUAUAUAUAAUUGAAUGUACAUGACAUUGUAUUUCAUUUUAAAAUAAAUGCAUAAGGGAUGUGCCAUCGAC